AGCGAACGCUGGCGGCAGGCCUAACACAUGCAAGUCGAACGAACCUUUCGGGGUUAGUGGCGGACGGGUGAGUAACACGUGGGAACGUGCCUUUAGGUUCGGAAUAACUCAGGGAAACUUGUGCUAAUACCGAAUGUGCCCUUCUGGGGAAAGAUUAAUCGCCUUUAGAGCGGCCCGCGUCUGAUUAGCUAGUUGGUUGAGGUAAUGGCUCACCAAGGCGACGAUCAGUAGCUGGUCUGAGAGGAUGAUCAGACACAUUGGGACUGAGACACGGCCCAAACUCCUACGGGAGGCGGCAGUGGGGAAUCUUGCGAAAUGGGCGAAAGCCUGACGCAGCCAUGCCGCGUGAAUGAUGAAGGUAUUAGGAUUGUAAAAUUCUUUCAACGGGGACGAUAAUGACGGUACCCGGAGAAGAAGCCCCGGCUAACUUCGUG
Molecule: ribosomal RNA, 434 nt
Filed under: uncultured bacterium
Lineage: Bacteria
Description: partial 16S ribosomal RNA
Rfam family: Bacterial small subunit ribosomal RNA
Source: RNAcentral